This 315-nucleotide ribosomal RNA is filed under the name uncultured eukaryote. RNAcentral describes it as "partial 18S ribosomal RNA". It matches the Rfam family "Eukaryotic small subunit ribosomal RNA", at positions 1470 to 1796 of the family's 1831-position model. The record is from RNAcentral.
CCCUUAGACGUUCUGGGCCGCACGCGCGCUACACUGACCAGUGCAACAAGCAUCCGUCCUUGGCCGACAGGCCCGGGCAAUCUUUGAACGCUGGUCGUGAUGGGGAUAGACUUUUGCAAUUUUUGGUCUUCAACGAGGAAUUCCUAGUAAACGCAAGUCAUCAACUUGCAUUGAUUACGUCCCUGCCCUUUGUACACACCGCCCGCCGCACCUACCGAUUGAAUGGUCCGGUGAAGCCUCCGGAUUGGCGCGCACCUCGGUGCCGCCGAGAAGUUGGCUAAACCUUACCAUUUAGAGGAAGGUGAANUCGUANCA